UAAAAUACACCUCACUGGUCUCAAGCUCAACAGACUCCACAGUUUUUGCUAAUUCAAGGUUUCAAUGCAAAUGAACUGAUGUCUGUUUCAUAUUUAAACAGCUACACUGUGGAGUGCAGGACUCAUCACCAGAUCAGCCUUCAUCUAAACCAUGUUCACUUCAUUUCUCUUGCUGUUGCUAGCUGCUGUGUCUUGUAUUGACUGUCAGGUUGUGCUCACACAGUCUGAACAGUCAGUAGUUGUGUCUCCAGGUGCUUCCUACAAACUGACCUGUGCCUGCAGUGGGUUUACUGUUAGUAGCACUCACAUGCACUGGAUCCGUCAGGCACCUGGAAAAGGACUGGAAUGGAUUAUUUAUCAUUAUGAUGAAUAUAAUAAGAACUCAGCUCAGUCAGUUCAGGGCAGAUUCACAGCAUCUAAGGACAGCUCUAAUCUCUAUCUGCACAUGAGUCAGUUAAAGACUGAAGACACUGCAGUGUAUUACUGUGCAAGAGACACAGUGGAAGCACAAAUACAAGCACCUGUUCAAAAACUAUUCAUGAGAAACAUGAUGGUGGACUGAAGAGAUGUUGGUUAU
This is a non-coding RNA of Carassius auratus (goldfish), 577 nucleotides long. The record is from the annotation of a RefSeq genome assembly. NCBI's taxonomy places the organism in Eukaryota, Metazoa, Chordata, Actinopteri, Cypriniformes, Cyprinidae.